Molecule: transfer RNA, 72 nt
Filed under: Dipodomys ordii (Ord's kangaroo rat)
Lineage: Eukaryota; Metazoa; Chordata; Mammalia; Rodentia; Heteromyidae
Rfam family: tRNA
About the family: Transfer RNA (tRNA) molecules are approximately 80 nucleotides in length. Their secondary structure includes four short double-helical elements and three loops (D, anti-codon, and T loops).
Source: Rfam by way of RNAcentral
GGAGACAUGACUCAAGUGGUAGAGUACCUGCCUAGCAAGCAUGAGUCCCUGAGUUCAAACCCUAGUACUUCA